Molecule: ribosomal RNA, 460 nt
Filed under: uncultured bacterium
Lineage: Bacteria
Description: bacterial SSU rRNA
Rfam family: Bacterial small subunit ribosomal RNA
Source: RNAcentral
AGAGUUUGAUCCUGGCUCAGAGCGAACGUUAGCGGCGGGCUUAACACAUGCAAGUCGAACGAGAAAGAGCCCUUCGGGGCUUGAGUAAAGUGGCGCACGGGUGAGUAACACGUGGGUAAUCUACCCUCCGGCGGGGGGCAACCACUGGAAACGGUGGCUAAUACCGCAUACGACCGGAGGCUCCUCGGAGCCUUCGGAGAAAGGCUUCGGCCACCGGAGGACGAGCCCGCGGCCCAUCAGCUUGUUGGUGAGGUAAUGGCUCACCAAGGCUAAGACGGGUAGCUGGUCUGAGAGGAUGAUCAGCCACACUGGGACUGAGACACGGCCCAGACUCCUACGGGAGGCAGCAGUGGGGAAUAUUGGACAAUGGGCGAAAGCCUGAUCCAGCCACGCCGCGUGUGUGAUGAAGGCCUUCGGGUCGUAAAGCACUGUGGGGAGGGAAGAACACAAUGACUGUACC